UGAACGCUGGCGGCGUGCCUAAUACAUGCAAGUCGAGCGAACAGACGCGGAGCUUGCUCCUCUGACGUUAGCGGCGGACGGGUGAGUAACACGUGGAUAACCUACCUAUAAGACUGGGAUAACUUCGGGAAACCGGAGCUAAUACCGGAUAAUAUAUUGAACCGCAUGGUUCAAUAGUGAAAGACGGUUUUGCUGUCACUUAUAGAUGGAUCCGCGCCGCAUUAGCUAGUUGGUAAGGUAACGGCUUACCAAGGCAACGAUGCGUAGCCGACCUGAGAGGGUGAUCGGCCACACUGGAACUGAGACACGGUCCAGACUCCUACGGGAGGCAGCAGUAGGGAAUCUUCCGCAAUGGGCGAAAGCUUGACGGAGCAACGCCGCGUGAGUGAUGAAGGUCUUCGGAUCGUAAAACUCUGUUAUUAGGGAAGAACAAAUGUGUAAGUAACUAUGCACGUCUUGACGGUACCUAAUCAGAAAGCCACGGCUAACUACGUG
This 495-nucleotide ribosomal RNA is filed under the name uncultured bacterium. RNAcentral's name for it is "partial 16S ribosomal RNA". It matches the Rfam family "Bacterial small subunit ribosomal RNA", at positions 30 to 507 of the family's 1533-position model. The record is from RNAcentral.